Molecule: transfer-messenger RNA, 399 nt
Filed under: Bacteroidales bacterium
Lineage: Bacteria; Pseudomonadati; Bacteroidota; Bacteroidia; Bacteroidales
Rfam family: transfer-messenger RNA
About the family: Bacterial tmRNA, also known as 10Sa RNA or SsrA, is named for its dual tRNA and mRNA-like properties. Its role is to liberate the mRNA from a stalled ribosome.
Source: RNAcentral
GGGGCUGUUCUGGUUUUGACAGCAUUGACGACGGAAGGUAAGCACGCCGGGAGUGGAUGGUUGGCCCGUAAUCCUCAGCCGUCGAACAAUUAGUAGGCAACUACAACUAUUCAUACGCUUGCUAAUCUCCAAGAGAUUCAGCAUUAAUCAGAGCCGCCAAGGCUGCGGUACUGACGUAUAUCCCUCCGGCUUUAAGCCGCUUAUGUCCGGACCCAGGGGUAUCAUUCAAAGCGGAUGCUCGGAACAGACGCCUCUAAGUUCCGCCAAGAUUCAGAGGAUAAGCUGCUGCUAAGGGCGUCUUCCCUCGUACAGCCGCCGACAACCAAAGGAAGAAUAAGCGUGUAGAAAGCUUUUCGGGACUUUGUUUGGACGCGGGUUCGACUCCCGCCAGCUCCACAA